UACGAAGGGGACUAGCGUUGUUCGGAAUCACUGGGCGUAAAGCGCACGUAGGCGGAUUUGUAAGUCAGGGGUGAAAUCCGGGGCUCAACCUCGGAACUGCCUUUGAUACUGCGAAUCUUGAGUCCGAUAGAGGUGGGUGGAAUUCCUAGUGUAGAGGUGAAAUUCGUAGAUAUUAGGAAGAACACCCGUGGCGAAGGCGGCUCUCUGGAACGCAACUGACGCUGAGACGCGAAAGCGUGGGGAGCAACAGG
RNAcentral lists this ribosomal RNA (251 nucleotides) under uncultured bacterium. Its description in RNAcentral is "partial 16S ribosomal RNA". It matches the Rfam family "Bacterial small subunit ribosomal RNA", at positions 524 to 775 of the family's 1533-position model. The record is from RNAcentral.